Molecule: long non-coding RNA, 1186 nt
Filed under: Astyanax mexicanus (Mexican tetra)
Lineage: Eukaryota; Metazoa; Chordata; Actinopteri; Characiformes; Acestrorhamphidae
Description: lncRNA (ENSAMXG00005024261.1)
Source: RNAcentral
CAGGUGAUUUACAGGUGAUUAUAAUCGUGCAUUGUGACCAUAACCAUCCUCUUUACUCAUCAUUUCAGCUGCUGCCAUCAGGCAGGAGACUAAAGGUUCCACUAAAGUUAAAGUUUUCUCUUAUCUUAUCUUUAAAAAUAAGGUAAAAUAAAUACAUUAAACAUGCACAAACCUUGAUAUAAAUGAGUGUAUGUUGCUGAAAUGUUUGAUAGUGUUAAGAACAGUUUUAUGGUUUUAAUGUGAACUGAACCUCUGGCUGAAUAUGCAGCAGUAACUGUUAUUAUGUAAGUAAAGCAAUUUUAGCUUUGUUGUUUUUGUUGUUUUUAUUCUCUAUUCAUUAUUAUUUCUCUCACACAGUGUUUACCGGCCGUCUGGUGGCUGUGUGGUGGGGCAGGGCCUGUGGCGCUGGUUCCUGUACUGAGAGAGAGAGUGGGCACAGCGGGCAGAGAGGGCAGUGUGUGGCAUGUCCUGCCAACGGGAUAGUUAAAUUAGAGCUGAGACUCUCUGAUUGGUGGAGGACGUCAGGGGCACAGCCUCUGUCUGGCUGCAGGACCAAGACAUACAGCGGCUUCCACUCGUGGUGGAAGGAGGCGAACAUGGCGGCGGCGGCGGAGUCCGGAGAGAAAGAGGCGGCGGAGGGAUUAACCCGCAGCCCGGAGCAGCGUUCGAGCCCAGGUGAGAUGCGUGAUCCUGAGAGGAGCCGGAGUGCCGGAUCGUCAGAUGAGGGAGACAGUGAUGGAGAUGAUCGGAAGAGAGCUGCAGAGAGGGACAGUCGUCCUCCUGCAGAGAGAGGAGGAGAUGAGGAAGAGGAACCUGGUGAAGCUUCUUCUAGAGAGGAGAGUCCAGAGAAAACCUCCAGACCAGCGUCCGGCGCCGAGUCCGGAGGAUCCGACAGCGACAGCAGUGAGGAGGACAGUGAUGACGGAGCCAAACGCAGGAUGAGGAGCAGCGUCGCUCAUAUCCGGCGCGGAUCCCAGAACGAGAGCAGCAGACCCAGACCAAGGAGUUCCUCCACAGACAGGGAUGGGGGUGGGAGGUCCCGCUCUCGAUCCAGAUCCAGAUCUCCACGCAGUUACUCAGACAGAGGGCGCUGGUGAGCCACAUACCAGUCUAACCAUCAUUUCUAGCCUUCCUUUGUGUUUUUAUAGUGUUUUUUAAAGAUUUAUCGUGUUUAUAUUACAAAAAU